Molecule: long non-coding RNA, 249 nt
Filed under: Sorghum bicolor (sorghum)
Lineage: Eukaryota; Viridiplantae; Streptophyta; Magnoliopsida; Poales; Poaceae
Description: long non-coding RNA (SBIC_LNC000718)
Source: RNAcentral
UCACUGUUCACUAUCCGACAAAAUUAGUUUUGCUUUUUUUAUUUGAAGAUAUUCCUCUGAGUCUUGCAUGUUUCUGCCUACCACAGUUUAGUUUGAAACCUAAUAUGUUGGUCAUCAAUUUAUAAUGCUAUAUUUAACUUUGCACAGAUGGUCGAACAAACGCUCCGAAUGGACUUUGUAGUAAUCCAUGGCUUAUGACAGGAAUUCUAGGAGAACUUCAACUCAUGUAAAGUCACAAUGGCUGGUAGU